AUGGCGGCGUCGUGCCACGACGUGGACGUGCCGGGGAAGCCGACGGAGACGGGCACGGCGCUCCUGGAGGCGGCGACGGGCGCCAUCCAGGGGUUCGCCCCGAUCAACCAGAUCCACCAGCACCUCUGCGCCUUCCAUUUCUACGGGGACGACAUGACGCGACAGGUGGAGGCGCACCACUUCUGCGCGCACCUCAACGAGGACGUGCGGCAGUGCCUCGUCUUUGACGGGCCCGACGCCGGUGCGCGCCUCAUCGGCGUCGAGUACAUCGUCACCGAGGAGCUGUUCCUCACGCUGCCCGACGAGGAGAAGCCGCUGUGGCACACUCACGAGUUCGAGGUCAAGGGCGGCAUGCUCUUUAUGCCCGGCGUCCCCGGCGUCGUCGAGCGCCGCGACCUCGAGCAGGUGGCAAAGACGUACGGCAAGACCGUCCACUUCUGGCAGGUCGACCGCGGCGACGCCCUCCCGCUCGGCCUCCCGCAGAUCAUGAUGGCGCUCACCCGCGAGGGCCAGCUCCGGCAGGACCUCGCCGACUGUGUGGAGAAGAAGUUCAGCGUGUCGUUCCAGAAGGAGAGGGAGAACCGGGCGUACAUGAGCGGGCCGGCGCACGGCAUCCACCCGCUGGCCAACGCUGCUGGGAAGGGCUUGAAGACGGAGAUCCGCGAGGUCGAUCUUCCGGCUGCCAAUACUGGAGCCAGGAUUUUCACCUGA
Molecule: ribosomal RNA, 711 nt
Filed under: Triticum aestivum (bread wheat)
Lineage: Eukaryota; Viridiplantae; Streptophyta; Magnoliopsida; Poales; Poaceae
Description: partial small subunit ribosomal RNA
Source: RNAcentral